RNAcentral lists this transfer RNA (88 nucleotides) under Armatimonadota bacterium. RNAcentral's name for it is "Armatimonadetes bacterium (activated sludge metagenome) tRNA-Ser". It matches the Rfam family "tRNA". Rfam says of the family: Transfer RNA (tRNA) molecules are approximately 80 nucleotides in length. Their secondary structure includes four short double-helical elements and three loops (D, anti-codon, and T loops). The record is from RNAcentral. Lineage: Bacteria; Bacillati; Armatimonadota.
GGAGAGGUGUCCGAGUGGUUGAUGGUGCCGCUCUCGAAAAGCGGUGUGCGGUUCUCCCGCACCGUGGGUUCGAAUCCCACCCUCUCCG